Molecule: non-coding RNA, 21 nt
Organism: Caenorhabditis elegans
Lineage: Eukaryota; Metazoa; Nematoda; Chromadorea; Rhabditida; Rhabditidae
Source: Ensembl
UGUCGUAAUCGCAUAUUUAUU